ACCUUCCUAGUACAAAUAACUAGUAUAGUUGACUUCCAAUCAACUGGUCUCAGUAUAAACCUGGGGGAAAGUA
This 73-nucleotide transfer RNA is filed under the name Exilisciurus exilis (least pygmy squirrel). RNAcentral's name for it is "tRNA-Gly". The record is from RNAcentral. Lineage: Eukaryota; Metazoa; Chordata; Mammalia; Rodentia; Sciuridae.